AUUGAACGCUGGCGGCAUGAUUUACACAUGCAAGUCGAACGGUAACAGGCCGCAAGGUGCUGACGAGUGGCGAACGGGUGAGUAAUGCAUCGGAACGUGCCCAGUCGUGGGGGAUAACUACUCGAAAGAGUAGCUAAUACCGCAUACGAUCUAUGGAUGAAAGCGGGGGACCGUAAGGGCUCGCGCGAUUGGUGCGGCCGCUGUCAGAUUAGGUAGUUGGUGGGGUAAAGGCUCACCAAGCCAACGAUCUGUAGCUGGUCUGAGAGGACGACCAGCCACACUGGGACUGAGACACGGCCCAGACUCCUACGGGAGGCAGCAGUGGGGAAUUUUGGACAAUGGGCGCAAGCCUGAUCCAGCAAUGCCGCGUGCAGGAAGAAGGCCUUCGGGUUGUAAACUGCUUUUGUACGGAACGAAACGGCUCUGGUUAAUACCCGGGGCUAAUGACGGUACCGUAAGAAUAAGCACCGGCUAACUACGUG
This 482-nucleotide ribosomal RNA is filed under the name uncultured bacterium. RNAcentral describes it as "partial 16S ribosomal RNA". It matches the Rfam family "Bacterial small subunit ribosomal RNA", at positions 30 to 507 of the family's 1533-position model. The record is from RNAcentral.